This 240-nucleotide long non-coding RNA is filed under the name Elaeis guineensis (African oil palm). Its description in RNAcentral is "long non-coding RNA (EGUI_LNC014569)". Lineage: Eukaryota; Viridiplantae; Streptophyta; Magnoliopsida; Arecales; Arecaceae. The record is from RNAcentral.
CUUUCCCCCUUCCAGACUCAUCUUCCUCUUUUUCUCCAACAAUAGGAUUUGUCCUUACCAAAUCCAUCCACCUCAUGUGAUUAAUCUCACAAAAUCAUAGAAGUAUAUUCGAUUAAGGCUUUGGAAGUGACGGAGAGCCUGCUCCUUAUUCUAUGGUAUAUGGUAGAUUUUUUUCUCUUAUUUUUUUAUAAUUACAAUGCAUGCAUUUCCCCCAAAUAUAUGCAUGCACAUUUUGUCAUU